RNAcentral lists this ribosomal RNA (1002 nucleotides) under uncultured fungus. RNAcentral describes it as "eukaryotic LSU rRNA". It matches the Rfam family "Eukaryotic large subunit ribosomal RNA", at positions 24 to 664 of the family's 3401-position model. Lineage: Eukaryota; Fungi. The record is from RNAcentral.
CCCGCUGAACUUAAGCAUAUUAGUAAGCGGAGGAAAAGAAAACAACCGUGAUUCCCUGAGUAGCGGCGAGCGAAACGGGAUCAGCCCAGCACCGAAUCUCGUACUCGAUUGCAGCGGGUACCGAGAAAUGUGGUGUUAGGGAAGGGUCACUUUUGCCCCAUGUUUACGCACGCCGACGUCCAAAUUCGAUCGAAUGCGGUUUCCUCGUGCCCAUAGAGGGUGCAAGGGCCCGUAGGACCGGUGCGCGGCACGUGGGAGCGGCCCUUCCCCUGGAGUCGGGUUGUUUGAGAGUACAGCCCAAAGUUGGUGGUAAACUCCACCAAAGGCUAAAUACGACCACGAGACCGAUAGCGAACAAGUACCGCGAGGGAAAGUUGAAAAGAACUCUGAAGAGAGAGUUCAAGAGUGCGUGAAACCGCUCAGGGGUAAACGAAUGGAAUUGCCGAAGCUCGAACGAGGAGAUCUCAGGGUGCCCGCUCCGGGCGGUCACACGAGGGCGGGCGGCGGUGCAUGCGGUGGUCUCCCUCGGGAUCGAUUGCCGCUGUCCGUCGCUGUCGGCCGUCGUUGAUGGGCCAGCGCGGGCGCUCGUACGGCUCCUCUAGUAGGACGUCGCAACCUCUCGGGAUCUUGACCGAUAGGCUUUCGUGCGGCCCUGGGGUUGUGCUUCCCUGUCUGUUCAGAUCGGGUCCUCUUCGGAGUUGAUGCGGUCGGCAGGUUGGGGCGGGGCGCGUUCUUCGGGGCGCGUCCUGUUUCAGGCCCUUCGGGUGAGCCGUUGUUUGCCACCCGAGAGUUGUCCUUCGAGCGCGUGCCCGUCCGAUCGAUGCUGCGCUUGCGCGGGGUCUCGGCGAGCAGCGUCGGCGGCAGCUGUUCCUUGGCGUGCGAUGCGGUCUGAGUGCUCUGCGCUCCCUGUCGUGCGUCCCGGGCGCAGGUCCCUGCCGUCGUCGCCUGUUUUGCGGCGCGCGCUCGAGUUUGCGACGCCAUCCGACCCGUCUUGAAACACGG